RNAcentral lists this small RNA (105 nucleotides) under Marmota monax (woodchuck). Lineage: Eukaryota; Metazoa; Chordata; Mammalia; Rodentia; Sciuridae. The record is from RNAcentral.
GCUGGGCGUGGUGGUGCAUGCCUGUAAUCCCAGCAGCUCAGGAGGCUGAGACAGGAGGAUUGUGAUUUCAAGGCCAGCCUCAGCAAUGGUGAAACCCUGUGUCUA